This 253-nucleotide ribosomal RNA is filed under the name uncultured bacterium. RNAcentral describes it as "partial 16S ribosomal RNA". It matches the Rfam family "Bacterial small subunit ribosomal RNA", at positions 524 to 776 of the family's 1533-position model. The record is from RNAcentral.
UACGGAGGGUGUGAGCGUUGUCCGGAAUCACUGGGCGUAAAGGGCGCGUAGGCGGCGCGGUAAGUCGGGUGUGAAAUCUCGGAGCUUAACUCCGAAACUGCAUUCGAUACUGCCGUGCUUGAGGACUGGAGAGGAGACUGGAAUUUACGGUGUAGCGGUGAAAUGCGUAGAUAUCGUAAGGAAGACCAGUGGCGAAGGCGGGUCUCUGGACAGCUCCUGACGCUGAGGCACGAAGGUCAGGGGAGCAAACGGG